RNAcentral lists this ribosomal RNA (497 nucleotides) under uncultured bacterium. RNAcentral describes it as "partial 16S ribosomal RNA". It matches the Rfam family "Bacterial small subunit ribosomal RNA", at positions 28 to 507 of the family's 1533-position model. The record is from RNAcentral.
GAUGAACGCUGGCGGCGUGCCUAAUACAUGCAAGUCGAGCGAACAGAUGAGGAGCUUGCUCCUCUGACGUUAGCGGCGGACGGGUGAGUAACACGUGGAUAACCUACCUAUAAGACUGGGAUAACUUCGGGAAACCAGAGCUAAUACCGGAUAAUAUAUUGAACCGCAUGGUUCAAUAGUGAAAGACGGUUUUGCUGUCACCUAUAGAUGGAUCCGCGCCGCAUUAGCUAGUUGGUAAGGUAACGGCUUACCAAGGCAACGAUGCGUAGCCGACCUGAGAGGGUGAUCGGCCACACUGGAACUGAGACACGGUCCAGACUCCUACGGGAGGCAGCAGUAGGGAAUCUUCCGCAAUGGGCGAAAGCCUGACGGAGCAACGCCGCGUGAGUGAUGAAGGUCUUCGGAUCGUAAAACUCUGUUAUUAGGGAAGAACAAAUGUGUAAGUAACUAUGCACGUCUUGACGGUACCUAAUCAGAAAGCCACGGCUAACUACGUG